UUUGAACGCUGGCGGCAGGCCUAACACAUGCAAGUCGAACGAGUGGCGGACGGGUGAGUAAUGUCUGUGAAACUGCCUGAUGGAUGGGGUUAACUACUGGAAACGGUAGCUAAUAACGCAUUCCAUCAGAUGGGCCCAGAUGGGUUUAGCUAGUUGGUGGGGUAACGGCUCACCAAGGCGACGAUCCCUAACUGGUCUGAGAGGAUGACCAGCCACACUGGAACUGAGACACGGUCCAGACUCCUACGGGAGGCAGCAGUGGGGAAUAUUGCACAAUGGGCGAAAGCCUGAUGCAGCCAUGCCGCGUGUAUGAAGAAGGCCUUCGGGUUGUAAAGUACUUUCAGCGGGGAGGCGUUACCAGCAGAAGAAGCACCGGCUAACUCCGUGCCAGCAGCCGCGGUAAUAC
RNAcentral lists this ribosomal RNA (406 nucleotides) under uncultured bacterium. RNAcentral's name for it is "partial 16S ribosomal RNA". It matches the Rfam family "Bacterial small subunit ribosomal RNA", at positions 30 to 526 of the family's 1533-position model. The record is from RNAcentral.